UACGAAGGGGGCUAGCGUUGUUCGGAUUUACUGGGCGUAAAGCGCGUGUAGGCGGCCAUGCAAGUCGGAUGUGAAAGCCCUCGGCUCAACCGGGGAAGUGCACUCGAAACUGCAAGGCUAGAGUCUCGGAGAGGAUCGUGGAAUUCUCGGUGUAGAGGUGAAAUUCGUAGAUAUCGAGAGGAACACCGGUGGCGAAGGCGGCGAUCUGGACGAUGACUGACGCUGAGACGCGAAAGCGUGGGGAGCAAACAGG
Molecule: ribosomal RNA, 253 nt
Filed under: uncultured bacterium
Lineage: Bacteria
Description: partial 16S ribosomal RNA
Rfam family: Bacterial small subunit ribosomal RNA
Source: RNAcentral